This 759-nucleotide ribosomal RNA is filed under the name Praeclarispora sp. SX-2022a. Its description in RNAcentral is "partial large subunit ribosomal RNA". It matches the Rfam family "Eukaryotic large subunit ribosomal RNA", at positions 117 to 893 of the family's 3401-position model. Lineage: Eukaryota; Fungi; Ascomycota; Dothideomycetes; Pleosporales; Leptosphaeriaceae. The record is from RNAcentral.
GAAAUCUGGCUCUUUUAGGGUCCGAGUUGUAAUUUGCAGAGGGUGCUUUGGCGUUGGCAGCGGUCCAAGUUCCUUGGAACAGGACGUCACAGAGGGUGAGAAUCCCGUACGUGGUCGCUAACCUCCGCCGUGUAAAGCCCCUUCGACGAGUCGAGUUGUUUGGGAAUGCAGCUCUAAAUGGGAGGUAAAUUUCUUCUAAAGCUAAAUACUGGCCAGAGACCGAUAGCGCACAAGUAGAGUGAUCGAAAGAUGAAAAGCACUUUGGAAAGAGAGUCAAAUAGCACGUGAAAUUGUUGAAAGGGAAGCGCUUGCAGUCAGACCUGACUAUCGUUGCUCAUCUGGGCUUUUGCCCAGUGCACUCUUCUAUAGGCAGGCCAGCAUCAGUUUGGGCGGUUGGAUAAAGGUCUCUAUCACGUACCUCUCUUCGGGGAGGCCUUAUAGGGGAGACGUCAUACAACCAGCCUGGACUGAGGUCCGCGCAUCUGCUAGGAUGCUGGCGUAAUGGCUGUAAGCGGCCCGUCUUGAAACACGGACCAAGGAGUCUAACAUCUAUGCGAGUGUUUGGGUGUCAAGCCCGAACGCGUAAUGAAAGUGAACGGAGGUGGGAACCCUUUUGGGGUGCACCAUCGACCGAUCCUGAUGUCUUCGGAAGGAUUUGAGUAAGAGCAUGGCUGUUGGGACCCGAAAGAUGGUGAACUAUGCUUGAAUAGGGUGAAGCCAGAGGAAACUCUGGUGGAGGCUCGCAGCGGUUCUGACGUG